RNAcentral lists this ribosomal RNA (443 nucleotides) under uncultured bacterium. RNAcentral's name for it is "partial 16S ribosomal RNA". It matches the Rfam family "Bacterial small subunit ribosomal RNA", at positions 338 to 795 of the family's 1533-position model. The record is from RNAcentral.
CCUACGGUGUGCAGCCGUGGGGAAUAUUGGACAAUGGGCGCAAGCCUGACCCAUCAACGCCGCGUGAAGGAAGAAGGCUUUCGGGUUGUAAACUUCUUUUCUUGGGGACGAAGGAAGUGACGUUACCCACCACAUAAUCUACUGCUAACCACGUGCCAUCAGCCGCCGUAAGACGGAGGUGUCAAGCGUUAUCCGGAUUUCUUGGGUGUAAAGGGCGUGUAGGCGGGCUUGCAAGUCAGAUGUGAAAACCACGGGCUCAACCUGGGGCCUGCAUUUGAAACUGUAGGGCUUGAGUGCUGGAGAGGGGGGCAGAAUUCCAGGUGUAGCGGUGAAAUGCGUAGAGAUACGGAGGAAUACCAGUGGCGAAGGCGGAUCGCUGGACAGUAACUGACGCUGAGGUGCGAAAGCGUGGGGAGCAAACAGGAUUAGAUACCCGAGUAGUC